RNAcentral lists this ribosomal RNA (306 nucleotides) under uncultured bacterium. RNAcentral describes it as "partial 16S ribosomal RNA". It matches the Rfam family "Bacterial small subunit ribosomal RNA", at positions 507 to 808 of the family's 1533-position model. The record is from RNAcentral.
GACAGCAGUCGCCGCGGUAAUACGAAGGGUGCAAGCGUUACUCGGAAUUACUGGGCGUAAAGCGUGCGUAGGUGGUGGUUUAAGUCCGUUGUGAAAGCCCUGGGCUCAACCUGGGAAUUGCAGUGGAUACUGGGUCACUAGAGUGUGGUAGAGGAUAGUGGAAUUUCCGGUGUAGCAGUGAAAUGCGUAGAGAUCGGAAGGAACAUCUGUGGCGAAGGCGACUAUCUGGGCCAACACUGACACUGAGGCACGAAAGCGUGGGGAGCAAACAGGAUUAGAUACCCGAGUAGUCCCUGUCUCUAUACA